RNAcentral lists this ribosomal RNA (119 nucleotides) under Pteropus alecto (black flying fox). The record is from RNAcentral. Lineage: Eukaryota; Metazoa; Chordata; Mammalia; Chiroptera; Pteropodidae.
GUCUGUGGUCAUGCCACCCUGAACAAGCCUGAUCCUGUCUGACCUCGGAAGCUAAGCAGGGUCGGGCCUGGUUAGUACUUGAAUGGGAGACCACCUAGGAAGACCAGGUGCUGUAGGUG